This 432-nucleotide ribosomal RNA is filed under the name uncultured bacterium. Its description in RNAcentral is "partial 16S ribosomal RNA". It matches the Rfam family "Bacterial small subunit ribosomal RNA", at positions 29 to 506 of the family's 1533-position model. The record is from RNAcentral.
AACGAACGCUGGCGGCAGGCCUAACACAUGCAAGUCGAGCGCGCCCUUCGGGGUGAGCGGCGGACGGGUGAGUAACGCGUGGGAACGUGCCCUUUUCUACGGAAUAGCCUCGGGAAACUGAGAGUAAUACCGUAUACGCCCUUUGGGGGAAAGAUUUAUCGGAAAAGGAUCGGCCCGCGUUGGAUUAGGUAGUUGGUGGGGUAAUGGCCUACCAAGCCGACGAUCCAUAGCUGGUUUGAGAGGAUGAUCAGCCACACUGGGACUGAGACACGGCCCAGACUCCUACGGGAGGCAGCAGUGGGGAAUCUUAGACAAUGGGGGCAACCCUGAUCUAGCCAUGCCGCGUGAGUGAUGAAGGCCUUAGGGCUGUAAAGCUCUUUCAGCGGGGAAGAUAAUGACGGUACCAGCAGAAGAAGCCCCGGCUAACUCCGU